RNAcentral lists this ribosomal RNA (1552 nucleotides) under Vibrio parahaemolyticus. RNAcentral's name for it is "bacterial SSU rRNA". It matches the Rfam family "Bacterial small subunit ribosomal RNA". Lineage: Bacteria; Pseudomonadati; Pseudomonadota; Gammaproteobacteria; Vibrionales; Vibrionaceae. The record is from RNAcentral.
AAAUUGAAGAGUUUGAUCAUGGCUCAGAUUGAACGCUGGCGGCAGGCCUAACACAUGCAAGUCGAGCGGAAACGAGUUGUCUGAACCUUCGGGGAACGAUAACGGCGUCGAGCGGCGGACGGGUGAGUAAUGCCUAGGAAAUUGCCCUGAUGUGGGGGAUAACCAUUGGAAACGAUGGCUAAUACCGCAUGAUGCCUACGGGCCAAAGAGGGGGACCUUCGGGCCUCUCGCGUCAGGAUAUGCCUAGGUGGGAUUAGCUAGUUGGUGAGGUAAGGGCUCACCAAGGCGACGAUCCCUAGCUGGUCUGAGAGGAUGAUCAGCCACACUGGAACUGAGACACGGUCCAGACUCCUACGGGAGGCAGCAGUGGGGAAUAUUGCACAAUGGGCGCAAGCCUGAUGCAGCCAUGCCGCGUGUGUGAAGAAGGCCUUCGGGUUGUAAAGCACUUUCAGUCGUGAGGAAGGUAGUGUAGUUAAUAGCUGCAUUAUUUGACGUUAGCGACAGAAGAAGCACCGGCUAACUCCGUGCCAGCAGCCGCGGUAAUACGGAGGGUGCGAGCGUUAAUCGGAAUUACUGGGCGUAAAGCGCAUGCAGGUGGUUUGUUAAGUCAGAUGUGAAAGCCCGGGGCUCAACCUCGGAAUAGCAUUUGAAACUGGCAGACUAGAGUACUGUAGAGGGGGUAGAAUUUCAGGUGUAGCGGUGAAAUGCGUAGAGAUCUGAAGGAAUACCGGUGGCGAAGGCGGCCCCCUGGACAGAUACUGACACUCAGAUGCGAAAGCGUGGGGAGCAAACAGGAUUAGAUACCCUGGUAGUCCACGCCGUAAACGAUGUCUACUUGGAGGUUGUGGCCUUGAGCCGUGGCUUUCGGAGCUAACGCGUUAAGUAGACCGCCUGGGGAGUACGGUCGCAAGAUUAAAACUCAAAUGAAUUGACGGGGGCCCGCACAAGCGGUGGAGCAUGUGGUUUAAUUCGAUGCAACGCGAAGAACCUUACCUACUCUUGACAUCCAGAGAACUUUCCAGAGAUGGAUUGGUGCCUUCGGGAACUCUGAGACAGGUGCUGCAUGGCUGUCGUCAGCUCGUGUUGUGAAAUGUUGGGUUAAGUCCCGCAACGAGCGCAACCCUUAUCCUUGUUUGCCAGCGAGUAAUGUCGGGAACUCCAGGGAGACUGCCGGUGAUAAACCGGAGGAAGGUGGGGACGACGUCAAGUCAUCAUGGCCCUUACGAGUAGGGCUACACACGUGCUACAAUGGCGCAUACAGAGGGCGGCCAACUUGCGAAAGUGAGCGAAUCCCAAAAAGUGCGUCGUAGUCCGGAUUGGAGUCUGCAACUCGACUCCAUGAAGUCGGAAUCGCUAGUAAUCGUGGAUCAGAAUGCCACGGUGAAUACGUUCCCGGGCCUUGUACACACCGCCCGUCACACCAUGGGAGUGGGCUGCAAAAGAAGUAGGUAGUUUAACCUUCGGGGGGACGCUUACCACUUUGUGGUUCAUGACUGGGGUGAAGUCGUAACAAGGUAGCGCUAGGGGAACCUGGCGCUGGAUCACCUCCUUA